Molecule: ribosomal RNA, 833 nt
Filed under: uncultured bacterium
Lineage: Bacteria
Description: bacterial SSU rRNA
Rfam family: Bacterial small subunit ribosomal RNA
Source: RNAcentral
AAUCUACUUAGCUUGCUUUGGAGAUUCCUAGUGGCGAACGGGUGAGUAACACGUGAGUUACCUGCCCUGAAGCGGGGGAUAGCCCGGGGAAACUCGGAUUAAUACCCCAUGUGAUCGUAAGAUUAAAGGCGGCUUCGGCUGUCGCUUCAGGAUGGGCUCGCGGCCUAUCAGCUUGUUGGUGAGGUAAAGGCUCACCAAGGCUAUGACGGGUAGCUGGUCUGAGAGGAUGAUCAGUCACACUGGAACUGAGACACGGUCCAGACACCUACGGGUGGCAGCAGUCGAGAAUCAUUCGCAAUGGGCGAAAGCCUGACGGUGCGACGCCGCGUGGAGGAUGAAGGCCCUAGGGUCGUAAACUCCUGUCAUCAGGGAGUAACAGCUUACGUAGUAACUGACGUGGGCCUUGAUAGUACCUGAAGAGGAAGGGACGGCAAACUUCGUGCCAGCAGCCGCGGUAAUACGAAGGUCCCAAGUGUUGUUCGGAUUUACUGGGCGUAAAGAGUCUGUAGGCGGCUUAGUAAGUCAGAUGUGAAAUCCCGGGGCUCAACCUCGGAACUGCAUCCGAUACUGCUAAACUAGAGUAUUGGAGGGGAAUUUGGAAUUCUCGGUGUAGCAGUGAAAUGCGUAGAUAUCGAGAGGAACACUAGUGGCGAAGGCGAAAUUCUGGACAACUACUGACGCUGAGAGACGAAGGCCAGGGUAGCGAAAAGGAUUAGAUACCCUUGUAGUCCUGGCAGUAAACGGUGCACGCUUGGUGUGGGAGGAUUCGACCCCUUCCGUGCCGGAGCUAACGCGUUAAGCGUGCCGCCUGGGGAGUACGGUCGCAAGAUUAA